ACAAACUUAAAUCAGAACUCAAAAGUUCAAAUCAGAAUGUUAGAUAGGAAUAAUUUGGUUUGCUUUGCCUGUGAAGUGAAGUUUGAUAGUGUUCAUAAACUGACUCAACAUUUGAGCACCUGCGAUGCUGCGUCUCGCAUGUGUGUUCACUGUAACCAGCUCUUUGAUUCGAAACAGAAGAUGCAACAACACUAUGCGACCCAUAGUAGUGCAUUUCCCUUGACAUGCAACUGUGGAAAGCAGUUCCCAAGCAAGGAGAAAUUAAACCAGCACCAUAAGACAUGCCAUGUUGAUUAUGGUGCUGCCAUGGGGUGCAGCUAUAGGUGUAAGGAGUGUGGAGAAAUAUUUAGAGAAAGGUACCAGCUCUACCACCAUGCCAAAGAGCAUGUCUUAAAAGCAGAGGAGAGAAUCUGUGAUAUUUGUGGACAUACAUUUAUUGGGAGUGAAGCUUUGGCCAAACAUAGAAAGGAGGAACACAAAACAUCAGACAACUUGCUGUAUAGGUGCAAAGUAUGCAGUUUCACAUCAGCAGACCAUAAAGAAACAUACCUUCAUGUAAAGACCCACACGUCAAAACAAGGUGUACCCAGAAGGCAUUUGUGUGAAUCAUGUGGCAAAAGCUUUGCCACUCCGUCUUCACUGUUACGUCACUCUCUACAGCAUGAGAAGCUGAAAGAGCACACAUGUAACAUUUGUUGCAAACGAUUUGCUGACGAAAAGGCCAGAGAUGAACAUGCUACAGAACAUAACAAAUAUAUUAUAUGUGAACGAUGUGGUCAGACAGUGAAUGAUGUUACCAUGUCAACUCAUAAAUGUAUAUAAAAUAAUAUGAAACUUGUGAUGCUGAAGACUCCUGAAAUAUAUCUGUAAGUUCAA
Long non-coding RNA from Ostrinia nubilalis (European corn borer), 876 nucleotides. RefSeq lists it as uncharacterized. NCBI's taxonomy places the organism in Eukaryota, Metazoa, Arthropoda, Insecta, Lepidoptera, Crambidae. The record is from RefSeq and is a predicted model, not a curated record. The transcript has 3 exons.